This 464-nucleotide ribosomal RNA is filed under the name uncultured bacterium. RNAcentral's name for it is "bacterial SSU rRNA". It matches the Rfam family "Bacterial small subunit ribosomal RNA", at positions 28 to 471 of the family's 1533-position model. The record is from RNAcentral.
GACGAACGCUGGCGGCGUGCUUAACACAUGCAAGUCGAACGAGACGAUUUAGAAGCUUGCUUUUAUUGAGUCGAGUGGCAAACGGGUGAGUAACGCGUAGACAACCUGCCGCAAAGAUGGGGACAACAGUCCGAAAGGACUGCUAAUACCGAAUGUUGUAUCUCCUCCGCAUGGAAGAGAUAUUAAAGAUGGCCUCUACUUGUAAGCUAUCGCUUUGCGAUGGGUCUGCGUCUGAUUAGCUAGUUGGUGGGGCAACGGCCUACCAAGGCGACGAUCAGUAGCCGGUCUGAGAGGAUGAACGGCCACAUUGGAACUGAGACACGGUCCAGACUCCUACGGGAGGCAGCAGUGGGAAUCUUCCGCAAUGGGCGAAAGCCUGACGGAGCAAUGCCGCGUGAGUGAUGAAGGAAUCGUCCGUAAAGCUCUUUGUUAUGACGAAUGUGCAGAUUGUGAAUAAUGAUCUG